GGUUAGUCCGCAACGAGCGCAACCCCUAUUGUUAGUUGCCAUCAUUCAGUUGGGCACUCUAGCGAGACUGCCGGUAAUAAACCGGAGGAAGGUGGGGAUGAUGUCAAAUCAUCAUGCCCCUUAUGACCUGGGCUACACACGUGCUACAAUGGUUGGUACAACGAGUUGCGAGUCGGUGACGGCGAGCUAAUCUCUUAAAGCCAAUCUCAGUUCGGAUUGUAGGCUGCAACUCGCCUACAUGAAGUCGGAAUCGCUAGUAAUCGCGGAUCAGCACGCCCGCGGUCCGAAUACGUUCCGGCCUU
RNAcentral lists this ribosomal RNA (302 nucleotides) under uncultured Streptococcus sp. Its description in RNAcentral is "bacterial SSU rRNA". It matches the Rfam family "Bacterial small subunit ribosomal RNA", at positions 1078 to 1374 of the family's 1533-position model. The record is from RNAcentral. Lineage: Bacteria; Bacillati; Bacillota; Bacilli; Lactobacillales; Streptococcaceae.